Molecule: ribosomal RNA, 1343 nt
Filed under: uncultured bacterium
Lineage: Bacteria
Description: 16S ribosomal RNA
Rfam family: Bacterial small subunit ribosomal RNA
Source: RNAcentral
GACGAACGCUGGCGGCGUGCUUAACACAUGCAAGUCGAACGGAAAGGCCCUGCUUUUGUGGGGUGCUCGAGUGGCGAACGGGUGAGUAACACGUGAGUAACCUGCCCUUGACUUUGGGAUAACUUCAGGAAACUGGGGCUAAUACCGGAUAGGAGCUCCUGCUGCAUGGUGGGGGUUGGAAAGUUUCGGCGGUUGGGGAUGGACUCGCGGCUUAUCAGCUUGUUGGUGGGGUAGUGGCUUACCAAGGCUUUGACGGGUAGCCGGCCUGAGAGGGUGACCGGCCACAUUGGGACUGAGAUACGGCCCAGACUCCUACGGGAGGCAGCAGUGGGGAAUAUUGCACAAUGGGCGGAAGCCUGAUGCAGCAACGCCGCGUGCGGGAUGACAGCCUUCGGGUUGUAAACCGCUUUCGCCUGUGACGAAGCGUGAGUGACGGUAAUGGGUAAAGAAGCACCGGCUAACUACGUGCCAGCAGCCGCGGUGAUACGUAGGGUGCGAGCGUUGUCCGGAUUUAUUGGGCGUAAAGGGCUCGUAGGUGGUUGAUCGCGUCGGAAGUGUAAUCUUGGGGCUUAACCCUGAGCGUGCUUUCGAUACGGGUUGACUUGAGGAAGGUAGGGGAGAAUGGAAUUCCUGGUGGAGCGGUGGAAUGCGCAGAUAUCAGGAGGAACACCAGUGGCGAAGGCGGUUCUCUGGGCCUUUCCUGACGCUGAGGAGCGAAAGCGUGGGGAGCGAACAGGCUUAGAUACCCUGGUAGUCCACGCUGUAAACGGUGGGUACUAGGUGUGGGGUCCAUUCCACGGGUUCCGUGCCGUAGCUAACGCUUUAAGUACCCCGCCUGGGGAGUACGGCCGCAAGGCUAAAACUCAAAGGAAUUGACGGGGCCCCGCACAAGCGGCGGAGCAUGCGGAUUAAUUCGAUGCAACGCGUAGAACCUUACCUGGGUUUGACAUGGAUCGGGAGUGCUCAGAGAUGGGUGUGCCUCUUUUGGGGUCGGUUCACAGGUGGUGCAUGCCUGUCGUCAGCUCGUGUCGUGAGAUGUUGGGUUAAGUCCCGCAACGAGCGCAACCCUUGUUCACUGUUGCCAGCACGUUAUGGUGGGGACUCAGUGGAGACCGCCGGGGUCAACUCGGAGGAAGGUGGGGAUGACGUCAAGUCCUCAUGCCCCUUAUGUCCAGGGCUUCACGCAUGCUACAAUGGCUGGUACAGAGAGUGGCGAGCCUGUGAGGGUGAGCGAAUCUCGGAAAGCCGGUCUCAGUUCGGAUUGGGGUCUGCAACUCGACCUCAUGAAGUCGGAGUCGCUAGUAAUCGCAGAUCAGCAACGCUGCGGUGAAUACGUUCCCGGG